RNAcentral lists this ribosomal RNA (42 nucleotides) under Pilaira moreaui var. caucasica. Its description in RNAcentral is "partial 28S ribosomal RNA". Lineage: Eukaryota; Fungi; Mucoromycota; Mucoromycetes; Mucorales; Mucoraceae. The record is from RNAcentral.
UUGAUCUGAAAUCAGGCGGGAUUACCCGCUGAACUUAAGCAU